Long non-coding RNA from Callorhinchus milii (elephant shark), 374 nucleotides. RefSeq lists it as uncharacterized. The record is from RefSeq and is a predicted model, not a curated record. Lineage: Eukaryota; Metazoa; Chordata; Chondrichthyes; Chimaeriformes; Callorhinchidae. The transcript is spliced from 3 exons.
GGACAGUCAAGGAUUUUCACCCGAUCUGAGGGUUGAAUUCAGGAGUGUUGGAGACCAAGCACGCUGAGGUACAUCGCCCAUAUGCAUGAAGCAGGCUGGUGUUUGCUGAGUGAAAGGAUGUUUGAGACUGAAACUGAACUUUGCGUUGAAGGAGUCAUGAGACUAGUUGAUUGUCAGGCAAGGAAAGAAGAACCCUGAGGAGCACCAUAUGCAAGAACUGGAGAAGAUGUGCCAGACAGUACUCCAAGAUGUCACUGAUACCAUUAGAAGCCUGGGGAAGUGUCGUUGUGGAAUCAAAUCCAAUGUGGGAGACACGAUAAUUAUUGGGGAUUCAGCAUCUGAAACUGUAGCAGAAGAAAUGACAGUAUUACAUA